UCUGGCCUGCUCACUGAUCAUUGGGUUAAGAGCUGCGGUAUUCUGACCGUACAAAGGUAGCAUAAUCAUUAGUCUUUUAAUUGAAAACUUGUAUGAAUGGUCGGACAAGAGAAAGGCUGUCUCUUAGGUUUAAAUUGAAUUUAACUUUUGAGUGAAAAGGCUCAAAUAACUUGGGGGGACGAUAAGACCCUAUAAAGCUUUAUGCGAAAAUUAGAUUUAAGUGAAAUAAAAAUAAGAUUUAUCUCUGAGUUUAGCAUUUAGUUGGGGCGACUAAAAUAUAUUUAUAAUAACUAAUUUAUAAUGAUUACAGGUUUAGAUGAUUAUUAGUUAAUUGAUCCUUAGUAAAGAUUAAGAGAUUAAGUUACUUUAGGGAUAACAGCGUAAUAUCUCCUGAGAGCCCAAAUCGAAGGAGAAGAUUGCGACCUCGAUGUUGAAUUAAAAUACCUUCGCGGUGUAGCAGUUGCGUAUAGGGGGUCUGUUCGACCUUUAAAUUUUUACAUGAUUUGAGUUCAAA
This 514-nucleotide ribosomal RNA is filed under the name Coelocarcinus foliatus. Its description in RNAcentral is "partial 16S ribosomal RNA". It matches the Rfam family "Bacterial large subunit ribosomal RNA", at positions 1853 to 2615 of the family's 2925-position model. The record is from RNAcentral. Lineage: Eukaryota; Metazoa; Arthropoda; Malacostraca; Decapoda; Portunidae.